This is a long non-coding RNA of Mirounga angustirostris (Northern elephant seal), 1589 nucleotides long. RefSeq lists it as uncharacterized. NCBI's taxonomy places the organism in Eukaryota, Metazoa, Chordata, Mammalia, Carnivora, Phocidae. The transcript is spliced from 5 exons. The record is from RefSeq and is a predicted model, not a curated record.
GUUACCAGCUCCCAUCCUGCCGGCCGGGGGUCUGCCCCAUCUCGGACCUCCCUUCUCCAGUUCCCACCCGUGACCAGCUGGGCGCCUGGAGGGUGGCCAAGGGGACUGCCGUGGGCUGCCUGCCCUGGCCUGGUAUGGCCCGGCGGUCUGUGGGGACCGAGGCUUGGGUUACUGAGUAACGCGGGGGUGCAUGCAGCUGCUCUCCACGGGGGUCACCUCCUCCUGGCUCCCUGUUCUCUCGGCUCAGGAAUCCCCAAAGCCACCUGGCUCCUGUAGCUCCCUGAGCUAUUUGCAGCAUCAUGGGAGCCAAUGGGAGACAAGUGGCAAAGCACCAGAGCCUGUCAGACUCGUGUUGGUGUGUUCCUUCACCCUCCAGAGCCUCAGCGGGGCCCCGGGCAAGUACUGAGUCCUCUGGAUCGGGUUCCUCAUCUGUAGGACCGGUUUCGAGGAGCCCCGAGUGGACGUCGAGUGCCGGCGUCUUGUAAGCUUCGGCAAGUGUGGCCAUCAGUACUGUCUGGAGUGGCUGAGCAGACAGAACAGACGACUGACUCCAGCACACCGUGGGGCACACGGUGACUCGGGACAGCAACAGGCGGAGGGGCAGCCUCCACGCAUGCUCCUGUCGGAACUGGAGGGGGCCAGGUGCUGUGCUGGAUUCUGGGGUUCUGGGGGAUUUCCCCGACACUCCGCCGCCCCCGCACGGGACAGAACCGCACUCUGCUCUCAGGACGCCAAGACGGAGGAGACGAUCUCUCAGUUGCUAGGGCUUGACAGUAGCCCUGUUUCCAAAGUACAAUCCUAGCCUUUCCUGCUGGGGGUCUGGGGUGAAUUCCCGACAGUAAAAGUUUUGGGAGACAGCGAAGUGCAGAAGGGAGAGAACCCACCUCCCAAGGGCUGUUGUGAGGAUGAAUGUCCAUGAAGCACGUGACCCGCAGGGUGUCCUCAGCAGCAGAGCUCAUGGUAAUUACUGCUGUUAAUAAGGAAACACGCAAGUAAACGGGGCUGCUGGUUCUAGGAAGCUCCUGGCUGCAGAAGAGGGACUGGACUGGGCCGUGAACACCGGAAAAUUUCGCCUCAUCUAGUGCACCCUUAGGACGUGGGCUGCCUGCUCCGGGUCUCCGUCCUGCAGGCCUGCCAGCACACCAGGCCCCUGAGACACAGGCGGGAUGUGAAAUCUGGAGCUCUUGAUGCUGCUCUUUCCCCGCAUUCCAUAGGAAAAGAAGGCCUCUGUGGAAAGAGGACCCAGUCUCAAGAGUAAGUUGCCAACACAUCUGUAAGAAAGUGACGACCCAGUGUGGCUCACGUGGCUAAGCUAACCUCAUGUGUCCUCUUCUCAAUGACUGGAAAUUUAUGGCUGGACUUGACCCCUCACUAAAGCUAAACUGACUUCCCAGUGGAGAAAUUUACAGAUGCUGUGUCUUGGUGUUUCAAGUUCGAAGCUGGUAGUCAGUCGUUCUCUGCAGUAGAGCUCAGAUUCACCCACUCUGUCCUGAGGACAUUACCUGUCUUCAUUUCUAAGCCCUUUAUCCAGCCCAUGGUAGUUUCACAUCCGAUUAUCAAUUUAUGCAGGUCUCUCAAGUGCCAUUCUC